This 607-nucleotide long non-coding RNA is filed under the name Lupinus angustifolius (narrow-leaved blue lupine). RNAcentral describes it as "long non-coding RNA (LANG_LNC002984)". The record is from RNAcentral. Lineage: Eukaryota; Viridiplantae; Streptophyta; Magnoliopsida; Fabales; Fabaceae.
UUUUUGCCCUCCCUCAACCAUUAUUUCUCCAUAUAUUUUAGUGCCAAGGGAUUUGUAGAUAUAUUGCUCAAAAGCAAAAUAGGUUAAGUCAAUUGGAAUUGACUUUUGUCUGUUGCAGCAAAGAUAUGAUUUAAAUGGAUAGAUUGAUCUGUCACCCUUCCAAAAGAACAUGAAAAUGCCUAAUUUUCACACACACAUAUACAUAUAUAUAACAUAGUUUGUAAAAUUGAUAGAGCUUGGGUCAAUCAUCUCCAGGUGACAAAACUUAACAAGGCAGAAACUUUGUUUUUGCAGCAGGACUCUCACCAUUCUGCCAUCCUUAUUAUAUUUGGAGAGGAUGGGGGAGAUAACAGAAGACCUAUUAUUACAUUUGGAGAAUAAAUCCUAAAUUGAUUGAUACUGAGUGGAGGAAGUACAUGAGGGGCAUCAAUACGUUUAAAGUGACCCAGAAACUUCAUAGUCUCAUACCUAUUCUUAGAAGGCUGAACAAGCAGAAAUAUGCAAAUAUUGUUAACAAACAAAGAAUUCUAGGAAUGAUCUGGCAACAAGUCAAGACACGCUCCAGAAAGAUCCUACGAAUGAGGUUGAAGGAAGAGGAAAGACGGGC